Molecule: non-coding RNA, 200 nt
Organism: Anopheles arabiensis
Lineage: Eukaryota; Metazoa; Arthropoda; Insecta; Diptera; Culicidae
Source: Rfam
AGAAAUACCUAGCUGAUACGGGGGUAAAGCCGAAACCUCUAGAAGGUUAACAUAGGCUCUCCAGCUCCUACUCCUACUCAAUACGUGCCCGUCGUACAGCACGGUAACAUGUCUCUCAAUUAUCCAAGCUUACGGGUUACUUGAGUAUACGGGAAACCCAACCCCUUGCGCGGAUGGGUUGUAUGGCUAAAUUGAGAGGG